GGGGAAUAUUGCACAAUGGGCGCAAGCCUGAUGCAGCGAUGCCGCGUGCGGGAAGAAGGCCUUAGGGUUGUAAACCGCUUUCAGUAGGGAAGAAAAUGACGGUACCUACAGAAGAAGGUGCGGCCAACUACGUGCCAGCAGCCGCGGUGACACGUAGGCACCAAGCGUUGUCCGGAUUUAUUGGGCGUAAAGAGCUCGUAGGCGGUUUAGUAAGUCGGGUGUGAAAACUUAGGGCUCAACCCUGAGAGGCCACUCGAUACUGCUAUGACUUGAGUACGGUAGGGGAGUGGGGAAUUUCUAGUGUAGCGGUGAAAUGCGCAGAUAUUAGAAGGAACACCAGUGGCGAAGGCGCCACUCUGGGCCGUAACUGACGCUGAGGAGCGAAAGCAUGGGUAGCAAAC
RNAcentral lists this ribosomal RNA (401 nucleotides) under uncultured bacterium. RNAcentral describes it as "bacterial SSU rRNA". It matches the Rfam family "Bacterial small subunit ribosomal RNA", at positions 356 to 773 of the family's 1533-position model. The record is from RNAcentral.